This 283-nucleotide long non-coding RNA is filed under the name Homo sapiens (human). RNAcentral's name for it is "non-protein coding lnc-MAGOHB-1:2". The record is from RNAcentral. Lineage: Eukaryota; Metazoa; Chordata; Mammalia; Primates; Hominidae.
UCUCCCUCAUUUUGAAAUCAGUUUUCUCCACCUGCACCACUGCAUAGCACAGAUACAGAAACCAUCCUAUUUCAGGAUUUGAAUGCAAAACUUACCUUCUUACUCUAAAGAUGAAUGAUCAGGGAGAGAUUUAUUCAACCCUGAGAUUUUUGCAGUCUCCUUCAGAGUCACAGAAUAGAUUAAGGCCUGAUGAUACUCAAAGGCCUGGGAAAACUGAUGACAAAGGCAAAUUCUCUGAAGACCACGGGUCCUGUUGUGGAGUAAACUGUUAUUAUUUUACCAU